AUGAAGAACGAAGCGAAAUGCGAUACGUAAUGUGAAUUGCAGAAUUCAGUGAAUCAUCGAGUCUUUGAACGCACAUUGCGCCCUCUGGUAUUCCGGAGGGCAUGCCUGUCCGAGCGUCAUUGCUGCCCUCAAGCACGGCUUGUGUGUUGGGCUCCGUCCCCCGAUCCCGGGGGACGGGCCCGAAAGGCAGCGGCGGCACCGCGUCCGGUCCUCGAGCGUAUGGGGCUUUGUCACCCGCUCUGUAGGCCCGGCCGGCGCUUGCCGAUCAACCAAAUUUUUAUCCAGGUUGACCUCGGAUCAGGUAGGGAUACCCGCUGAACUUAAGCAUAUCAAUAAGCGGAGGA
This 344-nucleotide unclassified non-coding RNA is filed under the name soil metagenome. RNAcentral describes it as "partial contains 5.8S ribosomal RNA, internal transcribed spacer 2, and large subunit ribosomal RNA". The stretch from base 1 to 119 matches the Rfam family "5.8S ribosomal RNA", at positions 36 to 154 of the family's 154-position model. The record is from RNAcentral.